This 292-nucleotide ribosomal RNA is filed under the name uncultured Pseudomonas sp. RNAcentral's name for it is "partial 16S ribosomal RNA". It matches the Rfam family "Bacterial small subunit ribosomal RNA", at positions 1090 to 1382 of the family's 1533-position model. Lineage: Bacteria; Pseudomonadati; Pseudomonadota; Gammaproteobacteria; Pseudomonadales; Pseudomonadaceae. The record is from RNAcentral.
UAACGAGCGCAACCCUUGCCUUAGUUACCAGCACGUUAUGGUGGGCACUCUAAGGAGACUGCCGGUGACAAACCGGAGGAAGGUGGGGAUGACGUCAAGUCAUCAUGGCCCUUACGGCCUGGGCUACACACGUGCUACAAUGGUCGGUACAAAGGGUUGCCAAGCCGCGAGGUGGAGCUAAUCCCAUAAAACCGAUCGUAGUCCGGAUCGCAGUCUGCAACUCGACUGCGUGAAGUCGGAAUCGCUAGUAAUCGUGAAUCAGAAUGUCACGGUGAAUACGUUCCCGGGCCUU